This is an RNA transcript of Mus musculus (house mouse), 3025 nucleotides long. It is a transcript of the gene named predicted gene 2027, with no coding region annotated. The record is from RefSeq and is marked validated. Lineage: Eukaryota; Metazoa; Chordata; Mammalia; Rodentia; Muridae. The transcript has a single exon.
UCUUGCCCCUCUCCUGCUUGCCGUUUGGGAUUGAGUAACUGCUAGAUCCUUGGACUUCCAUUCAUAGCUACUACUGAACCAUUGUUGGGAAUUGGACUGCAGACUGUAAGUCAUCAAUAAAUUCCUUUACUAUAUAGAGACUAUCCAUAAGUUCUGUGACUCUAGAGAACCCUAAUACAACUAACUACAUACUAACAUUGUUACUUGAAUUCUCUUUGUAAUGGCCUUAGACCAAAGCUCAAGCAUUGUAUUUAUACUCCUAUAUUUAUCCACUGAGGUCUAAUAGACCCAGAAUUAAAAAUUCAUUACUGGGAUUUCAGCGCGGCCGCGUUGGCUAGCUCGGCUUCUGAGGGGACCCUCGCGCUGCUCUGCGCCCUGGGCUGCGCCAUGGAGGUGGUGGAGGCCACCGAGCAACUGCAGACGCUCAAGUUCGGUGGCUCAGGCCAGGGGUCGGCAGCUUCGCCGCCACCUCAGGAGCGCCGGGAGGCCCCGCCGCCGGGGGAGCAGCCGCCGCCGCCAGCCCCGAACUCGGAUCCCGGCGGAAGACCGCCGCCUCCGCCAACCCCGAACUGGGACGCCGGCGGAAGACCGACGCCGCUAGCCCCGAGCUCGGAUCCCAGCGGAAGAUCGCCGCCGCCGCCAACCCCGAACUGGGAUGCCGGUGGAAGACCGCCGCCGCCAGCCCCGAACUCGGAUCCCGGGGGAAGACCGCCGCCGCCGCCAGCCCCGAACUCGGAUGCCGGGGGAAGACCGCCGCCGCCAGCCCCGAACUUGGAUCCCGGGGGAAGACCGCCGCCGCCGCCAGCCCCGAACUCGGAUCCCGGCGGAAGACCGCCGCUGCCGAGCGGGGUCUGCGUCCCCGGCCCGAACGCCGCGGAGCCGCCGCCAGUGCUGCAGGCCUCGGACUCCUUGGACUCGGAUUCGGACAGUGAAACAGAUUCAGAUAGCUCAAGCUCCUCCUCUUCGUCGUCCUCUUCAUCUUCAUCCUGUGUAUCAUUUCCUCCUGUGAUGUCAGAUGGACAUGAGGAUGUCCAAGUUGAAAAAGAAAAUAAGAAUUUUCCUCUUAAAACAAGAGAUGAAUUGCUUCUUAAUGAACUACCUUCUGUUGAAGAACUCACUAUAAUUCUGCCUGAAGACAUUGCACUAAAGCCUCUUGGGAAAGUUUCAAGCAUUAUUGAGCAAUUAGUAAUAAUUGAGUCUGUGACUAACAUACCUCCAGUUAAUGAAGAUACUGUCAUUUUCAAAAGUGAUCGACAAGCAGCAGGGAAGAUAUUUGAGAUAUUUGGACCUGUUGCCCAUCCAUUUUAUGUGUUACGGUUUAAUUCAUCAGAUCACAUUGAGAGUAAAGGUAUCAAAAUAAAUGACACUAUGUAUUUUGCCCCAUCAAUGAAAGACUUCACUCAAUAUAUAUUCACAGAAAAGCUCAAACAGGACAGAGGAUCGGACGCUUCUUGGGAGAAUGAUCAGGAACCCCCUCCAGAAGUCUUGGACUUCAGUGACGAUGAGAAAGAAAAAGAAGCCAAACAGAGAAAAAAAUCUCAGAUUCAAGGCCGCAAAAACCUCAAAUCUGAAUUGAAUGAGCCAUGUGAAGAUUUUGGUGAAGUGAUUCAGAAGUGGAAUGCUUAUAGCUCUUCAAAAGGAUCUCACCACAGGGAAUUCUCAAGAGGCUUUGCGAGGGGUAGAUACUCUCGAAGAAGCCAUGGCAGGCCUCCACCUCAGCAGUGCUAUAACUCAGAUCAUAUGACAUCUCAAGAGAGUUUGGGAUUUGCACCUCAGAGACAAGAUAAUCCUGUCAUGCCCCACUAUCCUUUUCCCCCGCCCAUGUUUGAUAUGCAUAUCUUUCCACUCCCACCCCCACCCCCGCCCCCACCAACUGUAAGCAUGGGGUGGUCUGCACCUAGCAUGGCCUCUCAUCCUGAGCUUAACUUACCAUACUCCCUGCCCCCACCACCCCUUCCUCCACCACCUCCCCCUCCCUCUCCUGGGGAAAAUAAUUCUUCUCAUUUUGGACCUUAUUUUUAGUUGCAUGCUAAAAAAGAAAACUUAACAUAUAUUAUGAAACUAGACUGUUUUUUAAAAAUACAUUGUAAAAUGCUAAAUCAAAUGACUCAGUUGUACAUUCAUAUAUAUUUUUAAUAACUCAGUUGUAAGCUCAUAUAUAUUUGUAACCUUUGUGAAAUGAUAUUGCUAGGGAAAGUUCAUCUCAUUCUUAGGAAACUCCAGUUCAUGUAAUAAUUAAAUACAAUGUUGUCUCAUGUCCUCUGCUACCCACAGCAGGCAAACAUAGUGAUGGUUAUGACACAGGGUUCAUCACAGCCUAUGAUACACUGAACACUGAUGGAAAAUUUGACACUUGGUUUAUAAGUGCAAGAAUUCUUUUUUUUUAUUUACACAUUGAAGACUUUAUUGAAAAUAUUUCUCUGAUAAUAACCACUAUUUUGUGUGGUUUAACUCAUUUUACCAAGUAAAAUAGAACAAAUCUGAUUAUAUAUUACUUCUUCAUAACUUAAUUAUUAAUCAGAUAUGGGCAUUUAUUUAAUAUACAUUAGAACUAUGAUUUCAAUUUUUUAAUUUUAUUGAACUACUAAAAGCAAAAGAAUAAAUAAGUUGUCUGCUCCCUCCCCGAAAUAACAGGGUCUAAAAUCACUUGGAGUCCUAAAACCAAGCAAACUCACAUGUUUGAGUUUUUCUGCUCACGAAUUUUUUUUUUGAUACUUGCUUCUAUUACCUUUUAUAUAUACAUGACUAUCCUAGUGCAAGAAUUCAUUAGACUUGAUUUCCUUAAGCAAGUUAGGAGUGUGAAGGAGGAAGAAGACAUUGGCUGAAGCUCUCACUAGCCGGUUAGUAUUCACUGUGUAUUGAUUGACAGACUGGUGUUGUCUGUGUAGCUGUCAGUUAUUUAGAAAGCUUUGCUGUUCCACUGCUUACAUUAAGGCGUGUGUUGGUGUGUAUGUGUAUUCUGUGUCUAGUCACAGGCUCUCCAGUAUCUCACAUGCGUAACGUGUAAUGAAGGCAUAUUAAAUGA